AGAGUAAAUGAGGAAAAAUUAAAUAUGGUGAUUUUUUAUGAAGAGAAAAAACAUGCACUACCAUCUGAUACUCU
Molecule: small nucleolar RNA, 74 nt
Filed under: Pneumocystis murina B123
Lineage: Eukaryota; Fungi; Ascomycota; Pneumocystomycetes; Pneumocystales; Pneumocystaceae
Source: RNAcentral